This 445-nucleotide ribosomal RNA is filed under the name uncultured bacterium. Its description in RNAcentral is "bacterial SSU rRNA". It matches the Rfam family "Bacterial small subunit ribosomal RNA", at positions 331 to 792 of the family's 1533-position model. The record is from RNAcentral.
CCAGACUCCUACGGGAGGCAGCAGUGGGGGAUAUUGCACAAUGGGGGGAACCCUGAUGCAGCGACGCCGCGUGGGCGAGGGAGCGCCUCGGCGCGUAAAGCCCUUUCGGCGGGGGAGAACGAUGACGGUACCCGACGAAGAAGCACCGGCUAAAUACGUGCCAGCAGCCGCGGUAAUACGUAUGGAGCAAGCGUUAUCCGGAUUUACUGGGUGUAAAGGGAGCGCAGGCGGUCUGGCAAGUCUGAUGUGAAAUACCGGGGCUCAACUCCGGGACUGCAUUGGAAACUGUCAGACUGGAGUGUCGGAGAGGCAGGCGGAAUUCCUGGUGUAGCGGUGAAAUGCGUAGAUAUCAGGAGGAACACCAGUGGCGAAGGCGGCCUGCUGGACGAUGACUGACGCUGAGGCUCGAAAGCGUGGGGAGCAAACAGGAUUAGAUACCCCCGUA